CUACGGGGGGCUGCAGUGGGGAAUAUUGCACAAUGGGCGCAAGCCUGAUGCAGCCAUGCCGCGUGUAUGAAGAAGGCCUUCGGGUUGUAAAGUACUUUCAGCGGGGAGGAAGGGAGUAAAGUUAAUACCUUUGCUCAUUGACGUUACCCGCAGAAGAAGCACCGGCUAAGUCCGUGCCAGCAGCCGCGGUAAUACGGAGGGUGCAAGCGUUAAUCGGAAUUACUGGGCGUAAAGCGCACGCAGGCGGUUUGUUAAGUCAGAUGUGAAAUCCCCGGGCUCAACCUGGGAACUGCAUCUGAUACUGGCAAGCUUGAGUCUCGUAGAGGGGGGUAGAAUUCCAGGUGUAGCGGUGAAAUGCGUAGGGAUCUGGAGGAAUACCGGUGGCGAAGGCGGCCCCCUGGACGAAGACUGACGCUCAGGUGCGAAAGCGUGGGGAGCAAACAGGAUUAGAUACCCCCGUAGUC
Molecule: ribosomal RNA, 464 nt
Filed under: uncultured bacterium
Lineage: Bacteria
Description: partial 16S ribosomal RNA
Rfam family: Bacterial small subunit ribosomal RNA
Source: RNAcentral